Molecule: ribosomal RNA, 233 nt
Filed under: uncultured bacterium
Lineage: Bacteria
Description: partial 16S ribosomal RNA
Rfam family: Bacterial small subunit ribosomal RNA
Source: RNAcentral
UAACCUGCCUUGGAGUGGGGAAUAACAGCUGGAAACAGCUGCUAAUACCGCAUAAUAUAUCUGUGUCGCAUGGCACUGGAUAUCAAAGAUUUAUCGCUCUGAGAUGGACUCGCGUCUGAUUAGCUUGUUGGCGGGGUAACGGCCCACCAAGGCGACGAUCAGUAGCCGGACUGAGAGGUUGGCCGGCCACAUUGGGACUGAGACACGGCCCAGACUCCUACGGAAGGCAGCAG